Molecule: transfer RNA, 72 nt
Filed under: Microbacterium sp. 77mftsu3.1
Lineage: Bacteria; Bacillati; Actinomycetota; Actinomycetes; Micrococcales; Microbacteriaceae
Description: tRNA_Pro_CGG
Rfam family: tRNA
About the family: Transfer RNA (tRNA) molecules are approximately 80 nucleotides in length. Their secondary structure includes four short double-helical elements and three loops (D, anti-codon, and T loops). Further hydrogen bonds mediate the characteristic L-shaped molecular structure. tRNAs have two regions of fundamental functional importance: the anti-codon, which is responsible for specific mRNA codon recognition, and the 3' end, to which the tRNAs corresponding amino acid is attached (by aminoacyl-tRNA synthetases). tRNAs cope with the degeneracy of the genetic code in two manners: having more than one tRNA (with a specific anti-codon) for a particular amino acid; and 'wobble' base-pairing, i.e. permitting non-standard base-pairing at the 3rd anti-codon position.
Source: RNAcentral
CCGGAUGUAGGGGAGCGGUACCCCGCCGUGUUCGGGACACGGAAGUCGUGGGUUCGAUCCCCACCAUUCGGA